RNAcentral lists this ribosomal RNA (251 nucleotides) under uncultured bacterium. Its description in RNAcentral is "partial 16S ribosomal RNA". It matches the Rfam family "Bacterial small subunit ribosomal RNA", at positions 524 to 777 of the family's 1533-position model. The record is from RNAcentral.
UACGUAGGGUGCAAGCGUUAAUCGGAAUUACUGGGCGUAAAGCGUGCGCAGGCGGUUGUGCAAGACAGAUGUGAAAUCCCCGGGCUUAACCUGGGAACUGCAUUUGUGACUGCACAGCUGGAGUGCGGCAGAGGGGGAUGGAAUUCCGCGUGUAGCAGUGAAAUGCGUAGAUAUGCGGAGGAAUACCAAAGGCGAAGGCAGUGUCCUGGGAGUGUCUGACGCUCAGGCGCGAAGCUAGGGAGCGAACGAGG